Molecule: ribosomal RNA, 1443 nt
Filed under: Staphylococcus sp. JMP-C
Lineage: Bacteria; Bacillati; Bacillota; Bacilli; Caryophanales; Staphylococcaceae
Also listed under: 1 other name
Description: bacterial SSU rRNA
Rfam family: Bacterial small subunit ribosomal RNA
Source: RNAcentral
GCGCGUGCUAUACAUGCAGUCGAGCGAACAGAUGAGAAGCUUGCUUCUCUGAUGUUAGCGGCGGACGGGUGAGUAACACGUGGGUAACCUACCUAUAAGACUGGGAUAACUCCGGGAAACCGGGGCUAAUACCGGAUAAUAUUUUGAACCGCAUGGUUCAAUAGUGAAAGACGGUUUCGGCUGUCACUUAUAGAUGGACCCGCGCCGUAUUAGCUAGUUGGUAAGGUAACGGCUUACCAAGGCGACGAUACGUAGCCGACCUGAGAGGGUGAUCGGCCACACUGGAACUGAGACACGGUCCAGACUCCUACGGGAGGCAGCAGUAGGGAAUCUUCCGCAAUGGGCGAAAGCCUGACGGAGCAACGCCGCGUGAGUGAUGAAGGUCUUCGGAUCGUAAAACUCUGUUGUUAGGGAAGAACAAAUUUGUUAGUAACUGAACAAGUCUUGACGGUACCUAACCAGAAAGCCACGGCUAACUACGUGCCAGCAGCCGCGGUAAUACGUAGGUGGCAAGCGUUAUCCGGGAAUUAUUGGGCGUAAAGCGCGCGUAGGCGGUUUCUUAAGUCUGAUGUGAAAGCCCACGGCUCAACCGUGGAGGGUCAUUGGAAACUGGGAAACUUGAGUGCAGAAGAGGAGAGUGGAAUUCCAUGUGUAGCGGUGAAAUGCGCAGAGAUAUGGAGGAACACCAGUGGCGAAGGCGGCUCUCUGGUCUGUAACUGACGCUGAUGUGCGAAAGCGUGGGGAUCAAACAGGAUUAGAUACCCUGGUAGUCCACGCCGUAAACGAUGAGUGCUAAGUGUUAGGGGGUUUCCGCCCCUUAGUGCUGCAGCUAACGCAUUAAGCACUCCGCCUGGGGAGUACGACCGCAAGGUUGAAACUCAAAGGAAUUGACGGGGACCCGCACAAGCGGUGGAGCAUGUGGUUUAAUUCGAAGCAACGCGAAGAACCUUACCAAAUCUUGACAUCCUUUGACCGCUCUAGAGAUAGAGUCUUCCCCUUCGGGGGACAAAGUGACAGGUGGUGCAUGGUUGUCGUCAGCUCGUGUCGUGAGAUGUUGGGUUAAGUCCCGCAACGAGCGCAACCCUUAAGCUUAGUUGCCAUCAUUAAGUUGGGCACUCUAGGUUGACUGCCGGUGACAAACCGGAGGAAGGUGGGGAUGACGUCAAAUCAUCAUGCCCCUUAUGAUUUGGGCUACACACGUGCUACAAUGGAUAAUACAAAGGGCAGCGAAUCCGCGAGGCCAAGCAAAUCCCAUAAAAUUAUUCUCAGUUCGGAUUGUAGUCUGCAACUCGACUACAUGAAGCUGGAAUCGCUAGUAAUCGUAGAUCAGCAUGCUACGGUGAAUACGUUCCCGGGUCUUGUACACACCGCCCGUCACACCACGAGAGUUUGUAACACCCGAAGCCGGUGGAGUAACCUUUUAGGAGCUAGCCGUCGAGGACA